Molecule: small RNA, 82 nt
Filed under: Arabidopsis thaliana (thale cress)
Lineage: Eukaryota; Viridiplantae; Streptophyta; Magnoliopsida; Brassicales; Brassicaceae
Description: ATSL227810
Source: RNAcentral
UUCCCUUUUUGAGUUUGUCUUGUUUGAUCUCAUUAUUGGCUUUUACUACUCUGUUUUCCAGCUUGUAUUUUCAUCAUCAGCU